RNAcentral lists this long non-coding RNA (204 nucleotides) under Mytilus galloprovincialis (Mediterranean mussel). Lineage: Eukaryota; Metazoa; Mollusca; Bivalvia; Mytilida; Mytilidae. The record is from RNAcentral.
AGAUAUAUUAACUAGACACAUGUGACUUUUGUACUAUAUUAUUCAAAAUGGCCAAAGCUGCGGCCUCGACUUGUGAAAUCUGUACUGGCGGACCAGGUGAACAUUACUGUCAGCAGUGUGAUCAGUUAUUUUGCGUAAGCUGUAAAUUAUCACAUUUACGCGCGAAAUCUUGUAAAAACCACACGUUUUUAAGCGGACCAAAUA